UACAGAGGGGGCAAGCGUUGUUCGGAAUUACUGGGCGUAAAGGGCGCGUAGGUGGCCUGUUAAGUCGAACGUGAAAUCCCCGGGCUCAACCCGGGAACUGCGUCCGAGACUGGCAGGCUCGAAUCCGGGAGAGGGAUGUGGAAUUCCAGGUGUAGCGGUGAAAUGCGUAGAUAUCUGGAGGAACACCGGUGGCGAAGGCGGCAUCCUGGACCGGUAUUGACGCUGAGGCGCGAAAGCCAGGGGAGCAAACGGG
RNAcentral lists this ribosomal RNA (253 nucleotides) under uncultured bacterium. RNAcentral describes it as "partial 16S ribosomal RNA". It matches the Rfam family "Bacterial small subunit ribosomal RNA", at positions 524 to 776 of the family's 1533-position model. The record is from RNAcentral.